GUUAACCACAGGCUGUACAGGAAUAAUGGGCGUGGCUUUCAGGGUUAAACACACUUAAACCUACAUGUUUUUUUCUAAUGAGUCGUCUGUGGUUAACAGCUGUGACCUUUGACCUUGUUAAACACUUUCCUGAUGAGCUGUGCUCUAAACAUUUAGUUUUUAUUUAAAGUUCACUUCUUAGCUUUGAUGGUUCCACUUAAAGUUGGGGAUAAAGAUAUGCUUGUUUUAUAUACACACCUCGAGGUCAAAGGUCAUUAUUGGAGUUUUUUGUCAGUUUAAGAUGAACUGUAAUAUGUCAGCAAAUGAAACCCAAACCUUUCUACAGUUUGUCACAGCACGCUUUGAUCAAACUGUAACACAUGCAUACAUGUGUUGGACACAUGACUGUACCCCACUACAUCUGCAUUUAAAGGGCACACAUAUGUAUACAGUAUAUGUCCUGUGAUACACUGUACACACACGUGCUUCCUGCAAACCACAUGUGCAUCAUCCCACGUAGGACUGAAAGAGAAGGAUGUUGUCAUCACUUCCCGCAGCCCAGAGGCCGCUGCACCAGUGGAGACCGCUCAUCCUGCAGCCACACCUGAAGCUGCUGUGGAGCCUGACCCUGUUCCUGUGGAAGAUGUGAUUGAAGCUGCUGUGGCAGAGGACACAGCUGCAGCCUCACCACCAGAGCCUGAAGCUGAGGCGGCAUCAGAAUCAGCACCUGUGGCUCCUCCUGAGGCCGAUGAGGUGAUUGAGGAGGAGCCAGAGGUGCUGGAGGAGGAGCCUGCUGCAGAAGAGGAGGAUGCUCCUGUUGAGGAAGAGGAGGUUGCUCCAGCUGAAGAAGAGCCAGCUGCAGAGGAGAUGAUGGGAGAUCAACCUGCAGAGGAGGAGGAGGAGGAAACAGAAACAGAGGCUGCGGAGGAGACCACAGAGGAGGCUACAGAGGAGACCGUGGAGGAGGACACGGAGGAGACCGCGGAGGAGGACACGGAGGAGACCGCGGAGGAGGACACAGAGGAGACCGCGGAGGAGGCCACAGAGGAGACCACGGAGGAGGACACGGAGGAGACCGCGGAGGAGGACACGGAGGAGGCUACAGAGGAGACCGUGGAGGAGGCUGUGGAAGAGGCCGAGGAUGAAGCUGCAGCAGAGGUGGAAGAGUCUUUCGCUGGUUCAGUGGAGGACACAGAUGAGGAGGUGGCUCAGGAGACGGCUCCUACAGAGGAAGCUGUUGUGGAGCCACCUGAACAAGAGGAGGCUGCUCCUGCACAGGGAACUGAAGAGGAGGCAGCUCGCUUGGAAGAAGCUUAUGAGGAGAUUGCAGCAGUAGAGGAGGAGGAGGAGGCUGCUCCAUCAGAGGAACCUGCUGAGGAGGAAGAAGCUGCAGAAGAAUCUGAGGCUGCAGCAGAAGAAAUGGGGGCAGCACAUGCAGAAGAAGCUGCUGAGGAAACUCCUGUAGAGGAGCAGGAAGCUCCUUUAGAAGAACCUGUUGAGGAGCAAGCUGAAGUAGAGGAAGCUCCUACAGAAGAGGCACCAGAGGAGACGGCCGAGGAAGAAAUAACUGAGGAGGAGACAGUACCAGUGACAAACACAGAAGAAGAAGCAGCACAUGGUGGUGCAGCAAGGGAUCCUGAGAUGGAGGAACUGUGGAAAGACGAGCCUACAGAAACGUAGGCCACGGAGGUCACCGCUGUGAUGGAGCAGGGACCCACUGACAUUGCAUCAGCACCAUCUGAGCUCAGAUGAUGAUGCCCCUCUCCAGAGAAAUGAUUGAGUUGUCAUGGCAACAAUCGCCCCUCUCCCCCCAUUUUCAUCCCUCCCUUUAAAUUUCCCUUUUAGUGUCAAAGUGUGAGAUGUUCACUAAUAUGCUUCCUUUGCCCUUGUUGUGUUUCCUUUCAGGUUUUGGCUCAUUCUUUUGUUUUCCUGUUUCCUUCAGGGUGUUUUAGCUUCAGUGUGUUUGGGGCACAUGUCCACUCCCUGUGACGUACGAGUGUGUGGUGCACUCGCACAGUCUUGUACCUCUCAGCAAAAAGAGGUCCAAAUCUUCGCUGGAGCUGCACGCUAGCUGCACAUUAAGAAGCUUCACACUUUAAAGUGUUGGAGCAACCAAAUCAAAUCCCCACUCAGAGCAGAAGCUGCUGCUCAGUGUAGAGAGGACUCUAUGCAAAGGUGUGACGCGUGUCACCCACCUCCUUCCUCCUCCUCCUUAGCAUCAGGUGAAUUUACCACUCAGUGUCGACUCCAGGAUGAGCCAUACACUAGCACAUGAACUGUGUGUGUUUGUGAGUAAUGCGUUGUUAUGUGCUGAGAGAUCUUUGCUAAUCCUUCUUGUUGUGUGAGCUGUAGUUUAGUUUCAUUUUGUUAUCUCACUACAUCAGACUGUAUCCUGUAGACUCCGAGCUGGAUCUUCUGUUUGCACAACUGAACUGAAGUUGUGACCUCAGCUUGUUGAACUGUGAGGGCAGCACGGACAGUGACACCCCCCCCCCCCACUUCACGUUUAACAGUGGCUCAUUCCUGUGGAAAUCCAGCCUCUCUGUAGAGGCUUAACGCCACCCUGUCACACACAAACAAUAAUGUCAAAUAAGAGCACUACUAUCUUAUUUUGAAGGCCAGAUGUAGAGCCAAACAUCGUUUCUGUUUGUCCUGUAAACAUAAAUCACCUUGCUUCACUCAAGGAUCAUGAUACAUGAUGACUGGCAGUGAAAAUGCUGUAGGAAUCAGUAAACACUACGUGUGGUCCUCACUUACUGUAACUGUUUGUUAGGGAUGCAACCUCGCUGUGUGAAUAUGUCUGAUUUUUCUUUCUCCUGUAACACUAGCUGAUGUUUUCUGUUUGCUGAAACUUUGUGAGUCAAUGUGAACCGAACCUUUUUAACAUUGAAAAGUAGAAUCUUUACUGAGAGACAACUUCUAGAUUUUUUAAUAGAUUUUUUAAAAAGAAUUUGGAGAGAUGAGAAGAAUUCUUAUUUCCAGAAGAUGCUUGCGGUGCUUUGUACUAAGCCAUAAGCUGUUUGUUGACUUUGUCCUGUGAAGCACAAACAAGAGAAACACUGUUGAGUUUUCAGUACUCGGCUUUGAUCACAGGUCACGUUCAUGUCUCAGAGGGUUGUGGCGCACAGGCAGCUCUGUUUCUAAACAGAGGCCACUUCUGAUGAACACGAUGCAACAAUGUAUCAGUGAUGACAGAGGGAGGGGGGGCGUGGCCAUCUUCAUCAAUGACAUGCUGUCUUUGAGUCAUAACCCUCAGAUUAUGGUUGAGUGUGCAGGUGUGACACUGUGCUGACUAAAUGAUCAUGAAGUACUGACAGAGAUUUGAAGUGGGAAGUUUUUCUGUUCUGGGAGCUAUAAUAAAAGAUUUGGGACAACACAGCAGUGCCUGUUUUUUUUAGUUGUUGUUGUUUACCUGUUGUUUACCUGUGUGGAGCCUCGUCACAACACAAGACUAACUUCAUCCCAGACAUUAAUUAGUAUUCCUAAUCGAUGCUGUGAUGGUACAGAAAAUCCUCCAACGUGACGUCGAGCUGCA
Molecule: long non-coding RNA, 3514 nt
Organism: Oreochromis aureus
Lineage: Eukaryota; Metazoa; Chordata; Actinopteri; Cichliformes; Cichlidae
Source: Ensembl